RNAcentral lists this long non-coding RNA (753 nucleotides) under Elaeis guineensis (African oil palm). Its description in RNAcentral is "long non-coding RNA (EGUI_LNC081068)". The record is from RNAcentral. Lineage: Eukaryota; Viridiplantae; Streptophyta; Magnoliopsida; Arecales; Arecaceae.
CUCUCUUUUCAUUCAAUGGGGUGUUCAUAUGACGUGUAGGGGUGCCGCGCAUUCAUCCUUAAUCAGAAAUCAAAACUUACUUUUCUGCAAAAUCCUAGAUCCUAAAAUCCUAGGAUUUAUUUUACAUGCUUUGUUUAUGAACCCAAACUUAAUUAAUGAAUUAAGCUUAUGAAAUUAAGUUAGGUCUAAAAUUAAAAAUUUUAGAUCUAAGAUAUUUUCAUAAAAUUGGAUUCGGACUUGGGUAGCUCAAUUAGGUCUAGCGGUUGAUCAAACCGAAUCAAGAGUUGGUUAGGUGGGAUCAUGAAAGCUAAUAAUUGACCAGCCUAAUAGGAUUAAGUUUGGGUCAAGGUCGAAUCAUAUCUAGAUAUGACUCGAUCAUGUUAAGACCUAAUUUGGCUCAGAGGUUACAGUCUGGAUUGUAGGCUAAUCCAAUUAGUUCUGGUUCGAUAAUUUGGUGUCUAAGGUAAGUUCGGCAGAUGCGACCGAUUGAUUUUUAAUUGGGAGCUACUCGACUCGAAUGCAUUCUUGUCGAGUUAAUGGCAUAUCCCUUCCACCGGUCUCACUUAUCUGGCCAUAUAUGUCGACCCAGUUUUGAUUUGAGGUGGCUAAGAAUUCGAGCUAACCCAUGCCACUAGAUUAGUCAUAAUUGUUAUGACUAUAUCAAGUCAAGUUUAAAGAGACCUAAAUCAAAUCUCCCUAAGAAAAUAUUAAGUCUAGGUCUUCCACCAUUAUGGAUGUGCGGGCUCUUCCCGG